Centrocercus urophasianus (Greater sage-grouse) is the source of this 753-nucleotide long non-coding RNA. RefSeq lists it as uncharacterized. The transcript has 3 exons. NCBI's taxonomy places the organism in Eukaryota, Metazoa, Chordata, Aves, Galliformes, Phasianidae. The record is from RefSeq and is a predicted model, not a curated record.
UCAUUACAUGACAUGUUACAGUAACCAAAGAUGCGGAGUGAAUGCUUUCUCGUUCUGUGCUGUCUUUGAAACUGUGUUGGUGCGUUGGUUUAUGGUGCAAGUUAGAUAUUGGAGAAGUAGCAGGGUGUCUUCUUGAAGCUGGCUUGGAAGCAGAACCAAUGAGUUAAGACCACCCAGCCUGAGUGUUGGCAUCAUGAGUAGAACAGAGAAGUACCUCAUGUCAGCAGUGAGAGAAGCAGGCCGCUGCAAAGCCACUGACUGGAAUGGUGUGGAGAGCAUACAGGGCAUCGUCCCACUUCCUAUCUCUUCGUGCUGAAGUGAAAUUGUACGAAGCUGGAAGUUUGGUGUCUGGAAGCUGGAUGCCCUACUUCUGGUGCAGUUAGAAGCAGGAAUAUGAGCGGCUUGGAACUGCUUGUGGCACCAGAUACAGCUGUGCCUCCUUCACAUUACCCUGGGCUGGGACAUCUUGAUGCAAAGUCAGAUUACUGCCAAUGUGUCCAUCUAAUCAAAAAAGGAAAAGAGACCUGCACCAAACACACACCGAGUGAUGAGGCAACCUGACCAGUACUCUGUUCUUUCGCAAGUUGAGCUAGGAAGCCUGGAGGAGAUUAGAGAGUAAAUUAUGUGCUUGUUUCUAUUUCCUGUUGGGAGUGCCUCUCUGUUGAAUAGGUGGCAGUUGCUGUGGAAUUGUUCUUACUUCCUGCCUGGAAAAAUGAUUGUGCAGCAUUUUAUUAUUUAAUUCUUGACAGAAAA